GCGACGUGAUGAUAGAAAUUCAGUGGUAUGCGAAUCCACUGAUAUUAAAGUUUGAUGUUAAUUUGAAGUUCCGACAGGUUCUGAUCGC
Hibiscus syriacus is the source of this 88-nucleotide small nucleolar RNA. RefSeq annotates it as small nucleolar RNA snoR14. The transcript has a single exon. NCBI's taxonomy places the organism in Eukaryota, Viridiplantae, Streptophyta, Magnoliopsida, Malvales, Malvaceae. The record is from RefSeq and is a predicted model, not a curated record.